RNAcentral lists this ribosomal RNA (253 nucleotides) under uncultured bacterium. Its description in RNAcentral is "partial 16S ribosomal RNA". It matches the Rfam family "Bacterial small subunit ribosomal RNA", at positions 524 to 776 of the family's 1533-position model. The record is from RNAcentral.
UACGGAGGGGACUAGCGUUGUUCGGAAUUACUGGGCGUAAAGCGCACGUAGGCGGAUUUGUGAGUCAGGGGUGAAAUCCCGGGGCUCAACCUCGGAACUGCCUUUGAUACUGCAAAUCUCGAGUCCGGAAGAGGUGAGUGGAAUUCCUAGUGUAGAGGUGAAAUUCGUAGAUAUUAGGAAGAACACCAGUGGCGAAGGCGGCUCACUGGUCCGGUACUGACGCUGAGGUGCGAAAGCGUGGGGAGCAAACAGG